UUUAGAACUGUCGAGGUAGAGGGAGUUUAGAACUGUCGAGGUAGAGGGAGUUUAGAACUGUCGAGGUAGAGGGAGUUUAGAACUGUCGAGGGAGUUUAGAACUGUCGAGGGAGUUUAGAACUGUCGAGGGAGUUUAGAACUGUCCAGGGAGUUUAGAACUGUCGAGGUAGAGGGAGUUUAGAACUGUCGAGGUAGAGGGAGUUUAGAACUGUCGAGGUAGAGGGAGUUUAGAACUGUCGAGGUAGAGGGAGUUUAGAACUGUCGAGGUAGAGGGAGUUUAAAAUAAAUAAAUGUGCCGAAUACAACAGGUGUAGACCUUACCGUGAAAUGUUGACUUACAAGCCCUUAACCAACAAUGCAGUUCAUAAAUAGUCCGGGUAGCCAUUUGAUUCAUUGUUAGGUAGUCUUAUGGCUUGGAGGUAGAAGCUGUU
Molecule: long non-coding RNA, 431 nt
Filed under: Salmo salar (Atlantic salmon)
Lineage: Eukaryota; Metazoa; Chordata; Actinopteri; Salmoniformes; Salmonidae
Description: lncRNA (ENSSSAG00000104532.1)
Source: RNAcentral